This 484-nucleotide ribosomal RNA is filed under the name uncultured bacterium. RNAcentral's name for it is "partial 16S ribosomal RNA". It matches the Rfam family "Bacterial small subunit ribosomal RNA", at positions 30 to 507 of the family's 1533-position model. The record is from RNAcentral.
AUUGAACGCUGGCGGCAGGCCUAACACAUGCAAGUCGAGCGGAUGAAGGGAGCUUGCUCCUGUAUUCAGCGGCGGACGGGUGAGUAAUGCCUAGGAAUCUGCCUGGUCGUGGGGGAUAACGUCCGUAAACGGGCGCUAAUACCGCAUACGUCCUGAUGGUGAAAGUGGGGGAUCUUCGGACCUCACGCUAUCAGAUGAGCCUAGGUCGGAUUAGCUAGUUGGUGGGGUAAAGGCCUACCAAGGCGACGAUCCGUAACUGGUCUGAGAGGCUGAUCAGUCACACUGGAACUGAGACACGGUCCAGACUCCUACGGGAGGCAGCAGUGGGGAAUAUUGGACAAUGGGCGAAAGCCUGAUGCAGCCAUGCCGCGUGUGUGAAGAAGGUCUUCGGAUUGUAAAACACUUUUAGUUGGGAAGAAGGGCAGUAAGUUAAUACCUUGCUGUUUUGACGUUACCAACAGAAUAAGCACCGGCUAACUUCGUG